This 435-nucleotide ribosomal RNA is filed under the name uncultured bacterium. RNAcentral's name for it is "partial 16S ribosomal RNA". It matches the Rfam family "Bacterial small subunit ribosomal RNA", at positions 29 to 507 of the family's 1533-position model. The record is from RNAcentral.
ACGAACGCUGGCGGCAUGCCUAACCCAUGCACGUCGAACGAGAUCCUUCGGGGUCUAGUGGCGCACGGGUGCGUAACGCGUGGGAAUCUGCCCUUAGGUUCGGAAUAACAGUUAGAAAUGACUGCUAAUACCGGAUGAUGACGUUAAGUCCAAAGAUUUAUCGCCUGAGGAUGAGCCCGCGUAGGAUUAGCUAGUUGGUGUGGUAAAGGCGCACCAAGGCGACGAUCCUUAGCUGGUCUGAGAGGAUGAUCAGCCACACUGGGACUGAGACACGGCCCAGACUCCUACGGGAGGCAGCAGUGGGGAAUAUUGGACAAUGGGCGCAAGCCUGAUCCAGCAAUGCCGCGUGAGUGAUGAAGGCCUUAGGGUUGUAAAGCUCUUUUACCCGGGAUGAUAAUGACAGUACCGGGAGAAUAAGCCCCGGCUAACUCCGUG